AUACGAAAGGUGCAAGCGUUGUUCGGAUUUACUGGGCGUAAAGAGAGUGUAGGUGGUUUAUUAAGUUGGAUGUGAAAUCCCGGGGCUCAACCUCGGAACUGCAUUCGAUACUGAUAGGCUAGAGUUUGGGAGGGGUAAGCGGAAUUCCGUGUGUAGCAGUGAAAUGCGUAGAUAUACGGAGGAACACCUGAGGCGAAGGCGGCUUACUGGACCAAUACUGACACUGAGACUCGAAAGCGUGGGUAGCAAACAGGAUUAGAAACCCUAGUAGUCC
RNAcentral lists this ribosomal RNA (274 nucleotides) under uncultured bacterium. Its description in RNAcentral is "partial 16S ribosomal RNA". It matches the Rfam family "Bacterial small subunit ribosomal RNA", at positions 523 to 796 of the family's 1533-position model. The record is from RNAcentral.